UAUAACACCAAUUGCUUCAAA
This 21-nucleotide non-coding RNA is filed under the name Caenorhabditis elegans. The record is from RNAcentral. Lineage: Eukaryota; Metazoa; Nematoda; Chromadorea; Rhabditida; Rhabditidae.